GCGCCGGUGGUGUACGGCGAACAUCGCUGCCCGGAAAACAGAAGACGCGGGUUCGAGUCCCGCCUGGCGCA
Heligmosomoides polygyrus is the source of this 71-nucleotide non-coding RNA. The record is from Rfam. NCBI's taxonomy places the organism in Eukaryota, Metazoa, Nematoda, Chromadorea, Rhabditida, Heligmosomidae.